GGAGGAUUAAAACAAAUAAACUACGAUACUAAAGAGCCAACUGAUACUGGGUCUCUGGUGCUCAGAGGACUUUCUGUCAUCCAUGGCCACAAACUUACAGAUUUCUACAAAGUAUGCUUUGAUUCUGUUGACAUUGGAAUCCUCCUCAUUGAGCAAGAAAGCUCUCAUCUUCUCUCCAUCUCAAUCCAGCCUCAUUGAAGAUCAUCAUUGAAGGAGAAGUUGUGACUGACAAUAUUGACGACUUGCCAAAAGCUAUGUGCAUUCUGUAUGGACUUGCAUACACACUGCAUCUCAACUACCC
Long non-coding RNA from Cyprinus carpio carpio, 301 nucleotides. The record is from Ensembl. Lineage: Eukaryota; Metazoa; Chordata; Actinopteri; Cypriniformes; Cyprinidae.